UACGAAGGGUGCAAGCGUUACUCGGAAUUACUGGGCGUAAAGCGUGCGUAGGUGGUGAGUUAAGUCUGUCGUGAAAGCCCCGGGCUCAACCUGGGAAUGGCAAUGGAUACUGGCAAGCUAGAGUGCGGUAGAGGGUAGUGGAAUUCCCGGUGUAGCGGUGAAAUGCGUAGAGAUCGGAAAGAACACCAACGGCGAAAGCACUCUGCUGGGCCGACACUGACACUGAGAGACGAAAGCUAGGGGAGCGAAUGGG
This 253-nucleotide ribosomal RNA is filed under the name uncultured bacterium. Its description in RNAcentral is "partial 16S ribosomal RNA". It matches the Rfam family "Bacterial small subunit ribosomal RNA", at positions 524 to 776 of the family's 1533-position model. The record is from RNAcentral.